UACGUAGGCAGCAAGCGUUGUUCGGAGUUACUGGGCGUAAAGGGUGUGUAGGCGGUUUUUUAGGUUUGGUGUGAAAUCUCCCGGCUCAACUGGGAGGGUGCGCCGAAUACUGAAAGACUAGAGUGCGGGAGAGGAAAGUGGAAUUCCUGGUGUAGCGGCGAAAUGCGUAGAUAUCAGGAGGAACACCGGUGGUGUAGACGGCUUUCUGGACCGUAACUGACGCUGAGACACGAAAGCGUGGGUAGCAAACAGG
Molecule: ribosomal RNA, 253 nt
Filed under: uncultured bacterium
Lineage: Bacteria
Description: partial 16S ribosomal RNA
Rfam family: Bacterial small subunit ribosomal RNA
Source: RNAcentral